AAUCAACGCUGGCGGCGUGCCUAACACAUGCAAGUCGAACGAGAAAGUGGAGCAAUCCAUGAGUAAAGUGGCGACCGGGUGAGUAACACGUGACUAACCUACCUUCCAGUGGGGGAUAACCUCGGGAACCGGGGCGUAUACCGCAUAAUAUCUUCGGGAUGAAAGCCGAAGAUCAAGGAGCAAUUCGCUGGAGAGGAGUCGCGGCUGAUUAGCUAGUUGGCGGGGUAANGGCCACCAAGGCUUUGAUCGGUAGCCGGCCUGAGAGGGCGCACGGCCACACUGGAACUGAAACACGGGUCCAGACUCCUACGGGAGGGCAGC
Molecule: ribosomal RNA, 321 nt
Filed under: uncultured bacterium
Lineage: Bacteria
Description: bacterial SSU rRNA
Rfam family: Bacterial small subunit ribosomal RNA
Source: RNAcentral